AGAGUUUGUUCCUGGCUCAGGAUGAACGCUGGCGGCGUGCUUAACACAUGCAAGUCGAACGGGAAUGCUUCGCUGAUGCGAUUUCGGUCAAAUCUUGAAGCAUUCUAGUGGCGGACGGGUGAGUAACGCGUGGGUAACCUGCCCUGUACAGGGGGUCAACAGUUGGAAACGACUGCUAAUACCGCAUAAGCGCACAGCUUCGCAUGAAGCAGUGUGAAAAACUCCGGUGGUACAGGAUGGACCCGCGUCUGAUUAGAUAGUUGGUGAGGUAACGGCCCACCAAGUCAACGAUCAGUAGCCGGCCUGAGAGGGCGAACGGCCACAUUGGGACUGAGACACGGCCCAAACUCCUACGGGAGGCAGCAGUGGGGAAUAUUGCACAAUGGGGGAAACCCUGAUGCAGCGACGCCGCGUGAGUGAAGAAGUAUUUCGGUAUGUAAAGCUCUAUCAGCAGGGAAGAAAACAAUGACGGUACCUGACUAAGAAGCCCCGGCUAACUACGUGCCAGCAGCCGCGGUAAUACGUAGGGGGCAAGCGUUAUCCGGAUUUACUGGGUGUAAAGGGAGCGUAGACGGUAGACCAAGUCUGAAGUGAAAGCCCGGGGCUCAACCCCCGGAACUGCUUUGGAAACUGGUAAACUAGAGUGCAGGAGAGGUAAGUGGAAUUCCUAGUGUAGCGGUGAAAUGCGUAGAUAUUAGGAGGAACACCAGUGGCGAAGGCGGCUUACUGGACUGUAACUGACGUUGAGGCUCGAAAGCGUGGGGAGCAAACAAAAUUAGAUACCCUGGUAGUCCACGCCGUAAACGAUGGAUACUAGGAGUCGGGGAGGGAAACUCCUCGUUGCCGCAGCGAGUGCAAUAAGUGAUCCUCGUGGGGAGGGCGGUGGCAAGAGUGAAACUCAAAGGAAGUGACGGGGACCCGCACAAGGGGUGGAGCAUGUGGUUUAAUUCGCAGCAUCGCGCAGAACCUAUCCCAAUCUUGACAUGACGGCGGCAAUCCGUGUAAAGCAGUAGUUGUUCGGAACACCGGCGACAGGUGGUGCAAGGGCGUCGUCAGAUUGAGUGGGGAGAUGGAGGGGUGAGUCCCGCGCAGAGCGCCUCCCCCCGCGCGAGGAGCCAGCCGUAAGAGGGGCAGUCUAGGCAGGUUUCCGGGGAGGACCGGGGGCAGGGAGGGGAAGGCGUCAAAUCAUCAUGCGCUCUAUCAUUAGGCCCCCCCGCGUGCUCCAAUGGUGUAUACGAAGGGAAGGGAGCGUGGGAGGGGGAGCGGAUCCCAAAAACACCCUGGCAGCUGGGAUGGCCGUGAGCAACUCGAGUACAUGAAGCGGCAAUAGAGAGUAAUCGCAGAUCGGAACGAGGCGGGGAACGAGUUCGGGGGUCUUGCACACGCCGCCCGUCA
RNAcentral lists this ribosomal RNA (1395 nucleotides) under uncultured bacterium. Its description in RNAcentral is "partial 16S ribosomal RNA". It matches the Rfam family "Bacterial small subunit ribosomal RNA". The record is from RNAcentral.